Molecule: small nucleolar RNA, 248 nt
Filed under: Capra hircus (goat)
Lineage: Eukaryota; Metazoa; Chordata; Mammalia; Artiodactyla; Bovidae
Description: Small nucleolar RNA SNORA53 (ENSCHIG00000005674.1, ENSCHIG00020003844.1)
Rfam family: Small nucleolar RNA SNORA53
About the family: The snoRNA ACA53 belongs to the H/ACA family of pseudouridylation guide snoRNAs.
Source: Rfam by way of RNAcentral
CACAUGCUUCCUUAGAUCCACCUUUGUGGAUGCCAGUCUUGAGCUGAGUUCUACUUGUAAACUUCUGGUUUCUUGUAGUUCCAGUCAAAGAAACAUCCAGCAACUUUUUUGGUUGUAUAGUCAAAGGUGCUUGAGUCAUUGGCAUGUAAGAUAAAUAUACCUGCAUGUUAGUCUUAGGUUCUGAUAGAAAUGACAUGCAAUUGUGCUGCCAUUUUUUGCUAUCAGGACUCGACUGGUGUGCGGACACU